GACUCAACCUCAAAUGAGUAUCUGGCUGUGUGGCGAAGACUUGGAGGGGGGGGGACCUUCAUCCAGCAGUGGAUUGAUCGUGACUGACACAAUGAUUGAUGUUGAUGGAUUAUACUUUUAAUUGUUUAUAAUAAUAAAAACAAAUCGCAC
Molecule: non-coding RNA, 150 nt
Organism: Petromyzon marinus (sea lamprey)
Lineage: Eukaryota; Metazoa; Chordata; Hyperoartia; Petromyzontiformes; Petromyzontidae
Source: RefSeq, a predicted model, not a curated record